AAUUCUCAACCCUCCUUACUUUUCUGUUAGGGAUGGGAUUGGAUGGUGGAGGCUUGCCGGAUGUCAACGUUCGGCUCCUCUGAAAUGCAUUAGCAGUAUACAACCAUUUACUUGGGCUACGCUAAGCUGUGAUAAUAUCUAAGCUGGCUGGUUCAGAGUGUUUGGCAGAGCUCGGGUUUUUUGAAGGGUUUUGCUUCGCGGCUCCCUUUGUUUUCUCUUUCGUAGAGAUACCUAUGCGACUCUGUGAACGGUUUUUGUUACCGCUUCUAAUCGUCUUCUUAACUGAGACAACCUUUAACUGACU
Molecule: unclassified non-coding RNA, 304 nt
Filed under: uncultured Xerula
Lineage: Eukaryota; Fungi; Basidiomycota; Agaricomycetes; Agaricales; Physalacriaceae
Description: sequence contains ITS2
Source: RNAcentral